RNAcentral lists this long non-coding RNA (1236 nucleotides) under Anolis carolinensis (green anole). RNAcentral's name for it is "lncRNA (ENSACAG00000037621.1)". Lineage: Eukaryota; Metazoa; Chordata; Lepidosauria; Squamata; Anolidae. The record is from RNAcentral.
AUGGGAAAUAAGCAAGACGAACUCCAACUCUUAGCACAGCACCACACAUACGAUGUCAUAGGCAUCACUGAAACCUGGUGGGAUGACUCCCAUCACUGGAAUUUAACCAUUGAGGGCUAUAACCUCUUUCACAGAAAUAGAACAAAGGGGAGAGGAGGGGGAGUAGCUUUAUAUGUCAAAACCAGUUACAUUGCAGAAGAAAUGCAAGACUGUAAUCCGGGAAACCAGCUUGAAAGCAUCUGGAUAAGAAUCAAGGGAACCGGGACUCAAAAAGAUCUUCUCGUGGGUGUCUACUACAGACCUCCGAGUCAGGAUGAAGGACUUGAUGAAGCCUUCUGUCAACAGCUGACCAAACAGGCACAAAGAAGAGAUAUAGUAGUCAUGGGCGAUUUCAAUUAUCCCGAUAUCUGCUGGAAAACAAACUCAGCCAAGAGUACAAAGUCCAACAAAUUCCUCACUUGCCUUGCAGACAAUUUUAUGGUCCAGAAGGUAGAAGAGGCAACAAGAGGAUCAGCAACUCUUGAUCUAAUCUUAACAAAUGUGGAAGACCUGAUCAAUACAGUUGAAGUGGUUGGAUCCUUAGGGGCAAGUGACCAUGUGCUCCUGGAGUUUGCAAUACAAAGGAAUGCUGAAACUAAGACAAGUCAAACACGCAUUCUCGACUUUAAGAGAACUGACUUCCAAAAAAUGAAGGAAUUACUGAGCGGCAUUCCAUGGACGCCAAUAUUAAAAAACAAGGGAGUUAAGGAUGGAUGGGAGUUUUUCAAAAGUGAAAUACUCAAGGCGCAAAUGCAAACAGUGCCAACAAAGAAGAAAAAUAAGACAAGUGCAAAGAAGCCAGAAUGGAUGUCCAAAGAACUUCUAACUGAGCUAAAGCUCAAAUGUGACAUCCACAAGAAGUGGAAUAGGGGAGAAAUCACCAAAGAAGAAUUCAAACGUAUAGCCAACUCCUGUAGAGAAAAGGUUCGCAAGGCUAAAGCGCAAAAUGAGCUCAGGCUUGCCAGGGACAUAAAAAACAACAAAAAAGGCUUUUUUGCUUACGUUGGUAGAAAAAGGAAGAAAAAGGAGGUGAUAGGGCCCCUGCGAGGAGAAGAUGGGGUGAUGGCGGCAGGGGACAGGAAAAGGCAGAACUACUUAAUGCCUUCUUUGCCUCGGUCUUCUCAGAAAAAGAAAGCCAUCUUCAACCUCAGCAACACGGAAUGGACGAAGGAUUGGGGGAAAUCCAACCCCAAAUAG